GCCUUUCGAAAGAGAGUAUUAAUACCCCGUAAUAAAUUGAACGGCAUCGUUUGAUUUUGAAAGCUCCGGCGGUUUGAGAUGAGUAUGCGUCUGAUUAGCUAGUUGGUGAGGUAACGGCUCACCAAGGCGACGAUCAGUAGGGGGACCUGAGAGGACUAACCCCCACACUGGUACUGAGACACGGACCAGACUCCUACGGGAGGCAGCAGUAAGGAAUAUUGGUCAAUGGAGGCAACUCUGAACCAGCCAUGCCGCGUGCAGGAUGACGGCCCUAUGGGUUGUAAACUGCUUUUAUACAAGAGAAAACCCUGGUACGUGUACCAAGUUGAUAGUAUUGUAAGAAUAAGCAUCGGCUAACUUCGUG
This 364-nucleotide ribosomal RNA is filed under the name uncultured bacterium. Its description in RNAcentral is "bacterial SSU rRNA". It matches the Rfam family "Bacterial small subunit ribosomal RNA", at positions 146 to 507 of the family's 1533-position model. The record is from RNAcentral.